This 345-nucleotide unclassified non-coding RNA is filed under the name soil metagenome. RNAcentral describes it as "partial contains 5.8S ribosomal RNA, internal transcribed spacer 2, and large subunit ribosomal RNA". The stretch from base 1 to 120 matches the Rfam family "5.8S ribosomal RNA", at positions 35 to 154 of the family's 154-position model. The record is from RNAcentral.
GAUGAAGAACGCAGCGAAAUGCGAUAAGUAGUGUGAAUUGCAGAAUUCCGUGAAUCAUCGAAUCUUUGAACGCACAUUGCGCCCUUUGGUAUUCCUUAGGGCAUGCCUGUUCGAGCGUCAUUUCAACCCUCAAGCCCUGCUUGGUGUUGGGCGUUUGUCCUGCCUCCGCGCGGGACUCGCCUCAAAGACAUUGGCGGCCGGUUUCCCUUUGCAGGCCACGAGCGCAGCACAGCGAGCGCUCUACGUGGACGCGGGGUCGGCGCACCAGAAGCCCUCUUUCUCGAAUUUUGACCUCGGAUCAGGUAGGGAUACCCGCUGAACUUAAGCAUAUCAAUAAGCGGAGGA